AACGCGAAGAACCUUACCUGGCCUUGACAUCUACGGAAUUCUUCAGAGAUGAGGAAGUGCCUUCGGGAACCGUAAGACAGGUGCUGCAUGGCUGUCGUCAGCUCGUGUCGUGAGAUGUUGGGUUAAGUCCCGCAACGAGCGCAACCCUUGUCCUGUGUUGCUAACCCCUUAAAAGGUGCACUCUCAGGAGACCGCCAGCGAUAAGCUGGAGGAAGGUGGGGAUGACGUCAAGUCAUCAUGGCCUUUAUGUCCAGGGCUACACACGUGCUACAAUGGGCGGUACAAAGCGUUGCCAACCCGCGAGGGGGAGCUAAUCGCAAAAAACCGCUCUCAGUUCGGAUUGCAGGCUGCAACUCGCCUGCAUGAAGCUGGAAUCGCUAGUAAUGGCGUAUCAGAACGACGCCGUGAAUACGUUCCCGGGCCUUGUACACACCGGCUAC
RNAcentral lists this ribosomal RNA (440 nucleotides) under uncultured bacterium. Its description in RNAcentral is "bacterial SSU rRNA". It matches the Rfam family "Bacterial small subunit ribosomal RNA", at positions 958 to 1397 of the family's 1533-position model. The record is from RNAcentral.